UUAAGGGAACUGAAGGUCACCCUGGACUGGGGGCAUUUAGACGGAAGCAUGAACAAGCCCUUAACGGGAUAAUGGUUGGCUCCUUAAAAAUGAACCAAGUCUACACGGACUACGGGAAUCUUGCAGGGUCAUCCAAAUCCCCAUGAGAGAGGCAGGAAGCUUGUUUUAAUUAGGGUGGGACUUUCUGUCAGACACAUCUCUGGAUCUGAUCUCACUGCAGGGUUCUCUCUCUCUCUCUCUCUCUCUCUCUCCCUCUCUCUCUGUGUGUGUGUUCACUUACACAGAUCCACACACAUCCCCAGCCUUUCCGUGUAUGGGGCAAAUCACAGAUGCCCUUUUCUCCCAGAGUUGGUUUGUUCACUAUUUAUUUUCACACGGAGGAAUCUGUCAACCAAACUUCAGGCUCAGAGCCUUGGCCUAUCAGGAGCUGUCCCUGAGAUAUCAACGGCGUUAGAACAGGACCUUGGGCCUUUCUCUUGCAGAGGGCUGGAAGAAGCCAGACACCAUCUUGUGAGGCCCUGCCAUCCUGGAUGGGUGUGUUCUAUGAAGGCCCCACUUCCGUCUGUCCCUAGGAGCCUGCUGGCCAUGGUGACUGGGGCACCGAGCUGAAAGCACUGGGAUUGUACCAGUGUUCUACUAGGGCUUGUCCAGUGCUCAGCUUUGGGACUCCGGUGAGCUACUGAAUCACUCCCUAGUGGUGUGCACACACGUCUCCAGACAUGAAGGCACACAUGUGUGCACCUCUCCCUUUCCUACAUACACAACUGCAGGUACCAUGGCAGUGUCUGUCUAGUUCUGGCCUUGCUUUUAAAAACAAGGAAGCCAAAGGCCCUGGGGAGUCAGAGAAGUCCUGAGAAUCAGAGACACAGUCUGGAUGGGAAGUCAGCUCUCUGGUCCCUGCACACACCCCAUUCCCACUCAGCAAUUCGCCUGGAGGUGUGCCAGCUCUCUGGUGUGCCCGGAUGCCCUCCUGUCCCUGCACCUGGGAUGGGACCUCUCUCAGCCCAGGCCUUCCUCUCCUCUUUUCUUCUCUGCUGUCCGCUCUUUCUAGUCCUGGCUUGGCACCAGGGAUGACUGUGUCCCUGGUGGUAGGGAUGGGGCUCCACCCGCUUUAGGCCUUUUUGGUCCCAGCCGCACUCCUCAAAGCAGCUGCAUUCCACCCCACCUUCAGAACCUCGGAGGAUCCCGCAGUCAGCUCUGCCCUCCUGGUGGACUUGCCCCCUCUGAGCCUGCCUGUUGGGGACCACAGGAGGAAGCUGACUUUGAAGGUCUUUCUUGGGUGUUCUCUUGAUGGAGGAGGAAGCCUCAACACAGAAUUUUAAAGCAAAACAAAUGGACCCUUAACAAGGCAAAAAUGUGUGUGGCGCAUCAUCUGGACUGAAGUAUGUGCACCCGUCAAGAGCAAUUUCUUUGAUGUGUUCGGGGAGGUGAACAUUCCUCUGGAGCUUUUCCCAUCAGAGUUUGGAAAAUCCAACACAUGUUUGGCCACUGUGCUCUUAGAAGUGUCUAUAACACUCGACUCAACGUAUCUCUAAGACCCGAAAGACAGCAUGCAACUUGAAUAAGCCCCUUGUCGUGGAAAUUAGUGCACUAAUUACUAAAAGUGCACCUACAGAGACAACUCCAAGAAAGGGGCGUCUCCAGCUUCCACCUGCUGUUGAGUCCACGUCCUCUUUCCCCUUACCCGUGAUUGACAGCUUCCCUUGGUGGCUGGGAUCCAUGAGUCCUUCUGUCUGCCAGGCCCAGUGUCCCCUCUCUUUGGGGACCUUUCCAUGUCCUCAUGCCCUAGGAUUCUUCUCUUGCUAUUACCUGUAGCCCAUGGCUUCUGCUUGCUGUUUGCCUCACAUAAGUUGUGAGGGUCCAGGGCACAGCGCCGAGCAGAAAUGGGCUGUCUGAGUGCACGGCUCCACCCUGGCGGCUCUGAGUUUUCACCUCAACCCCUUUAACCACUCACCAUUUCCCUUCAACAUCUUUCACUGAAAACUGUCCCGCUAUGCUCUUUCCCUUGGUGUGGCUUCUCGGGACCAAUUUUAUGGUAACUGAACUCAUAUUCAUUGCAGAAUAUUUGAAAGAUAAAAUGACAGUUUUAAAAUUAUAGAAAACGUUAUCGGAACACAAGCCCAGAUGCGGCAUCUAAUGUCUUGGCUGGCUUAUUCUGGAGCUUUCUGUGCUUUUAAACACCAUAGGGACCACAGUGCACAUUCACGAUUUCCCAAGCUUUUCUGUUUAUUGCUCUUUCUGAGAACACAUGGCUUUAUUUAUUAAUGGUGUGGUUCUCUUUCAUAAUUUCUUAAUUUAUUUUCUACAUAGCUUAUGAUUUCCUUCCUUUUUAUUUUUUUUAUA
Non-coding RNA from Cricetulus griseus (Chinese hamster), 2343 nucleotides. NCBI's taxonomy places the organism in Eukaryota, Metazoa, Chordata, Mammalia, Rodentia, Cricetidae. The record is from RefSeq and is a predicted model, not a curated record.